GGAGCAAACAGGAUUAGAUACCCUGGUAGUCCACGCUGUAAACGAUGUCGAUUUGGAGGUUGUGCCCUUGAGGCGUGGCUUCCGGAGCUAACGCGUUAAAUCGACCGCCUGGGGAGUACGGCCGCAAGGUUAAAACUCAAAUGAAUUGACGGGGGCCCGCACAAGCGGUGGAGCAUGUGGUUUAAUUCGAUGCAACGCGAAGAACCUUACCUACUCUUGACAUCCAGAGAACUUUCCAGAGAUGGAUUGGUGCCUUCGGGAACUCUGAGACAGGUGCUGCAUGGCUGUCGUCAGCUCGUGUUGUGAAAUGUUGGGUUAAGUCCCGCAACGAGCGCAACCCUUAUCCUUUGUUGCCAGCGGUUCGGCCGGGAACUCAAAGGAGACUGCCAGUGAUAAACUGGAGGAAGGUGGGGAUGACGUCAAGUCAUCAUGGCCCUUACGAGUAGGGCUACACACGUGCUACAAUGGCGUAUACAAAGAGAAGCGACCUCGCGAGAGCAAGCGGACCUCAUAAAGUACGUCGUAGUCCGGAUUGGAGUCUGCAACUCGACUCCAUGAAGUCGGAAUCGCUAGUAAUCGUAGAUCAGAAUGCUACGGUGAAUACGUUCCCGGGCCUUGUACACACCGCCCGUCACACCAUGGGAGUGGGUUGCAAAAGAAGUAGGUAGCUUAACCU
This 676-nucleotide ribosomal RNA is filed under the name Serratia marcescens. RNAcentral describes it as "bacterial SSU rRNA". It matches the Rfam family "Bacterial small subunit ribosomal RNA", at positions 765 to 1441 of the family's 1533-position model. Lineage: Bacteria; Pseudomonadati; Pseudomonadota; Gammaproteobacteria; Enterobacterales; Yersiniaceae. The record is from RNAcentral.